This 871-nucleotide small RNA is filed under the name Pongo abelii (Sumatran orangutan). RNAcentral's name for it is "retained intron". The record is from RNAcentral. Lineage: Eukaryota; Metazoa; Chordata; Mammalia; Primates; Hominidae.
AGGAUACAAAUAAAAAUGUUAUACCUUUCUUCCCCAUUACAGAGCUCUUUACUCCCUUCUUCCAAUAUUACAGUGCAAGUUGCUUUACAUUCUCUUUCCACAUUUUGGAUAGUUUCACAUUUUUCUUGAGUGUCAUGUACGAUGUGGUUUGCUAGGGUGAGAAAAUCAUAAUCCUAGGAUUGUUUUCUUUUGCUUUCUAAAAGUCAUAUUUAUACUUACAUGUUCAACCACCUCAAGCUGGCAGAAGACCUUGUACCCGCGUUGUAGAUACAAUCUAGCAGAUGUGUGUUCUCUCCUGUAUGUUGACAUGGUAAUUUUUUCACAAGUGAGUCAGUUUCAGUGUUGCUAUUAUUUCCACCACAGUUGGUCUGCCCCCCAGAUAAUUGGCAUUUGUCAUCAUCAUACGUAGACCUCUACUCAUGGUUCUUGUCUCCAGUCUGCCAUUUCCUAGCAUAGUGACUCGGCUUCCAUUCUCUCAUCUGUCAACCGGGAACACUAAAUUCUGCCUAUUCCCGGGGUGGAUCAGAUGUGGGGAUGAGUAAAGAAGCACUUGACAUUUCAGACAGCAUUGUAGAAAACUCAUUAUUCAUCCUGUUAGUCCGCCUCAUAUUUCACUUAAUGCAACUUUGCCUUUAUUUCCCCUCUGAAGAUUCUUCAAACUUCAUGAGAGAAAGUGUGAACCUAUUAUUAUGACUGUUCCCAGGAAGUCUGACCUUUUCCAAGAUGACCUGUAUCCUGACACAGCGGGGCCAGAGGCCGCGCUGGAGGCAGAAGAGUGGUUCGAAGGCAAGAAUGCAGACCCAAUCCUCAUCUCCUUGAAGCACGGGUACAUUCCAGGCAAAAACAGGGAUCUCAAGGUGGUCAAGAAGAA